Molecule: ribosomal RNA, 272 nt
Filed under: uncultured Oscillibacter sp.
Lineage: Bacteria; Bacillati; Bacillota; Clostridia; Eubacteriales; Oscillospiraceae
Description: partial 16S ribosomal RNA
Rfam family: Bacterial small subunit ribosomal RNA
Source: RNAcentral
ACUUCGGUCAAGUUGAACGGAUGACUUAGUGGCGGACGGGUGAGUAACGCGUGAGGAACCUGCCUUUCAGUGGGGGACAACAGUUGGAAACGACUGCUAAUACCGCAUGAUACAUUUGGGUGGCAUCAUCUGAAUGUCAAAGAUUUAUCGCUGAAAGAUGGCCUCGCGUCUGAUUAGCUAGUUGGUGGGGUAACGGCCCACCAAGGCGACGAUCAGUAGCCGGACUGAGAGGUUGACCGGCCACACUGGAACUGAGACACGGUCCAGACUCC